AACGAACGCUGGCGGCAUGCCUAACACAUGCAAGUCGAACGAGACCUUCGGGUCUAGUGGCGCACGGGUGCGUAACGCGUGGGAACCUGCCCUUAGGUUCGGAAUAACUCCCCGAAAGGGGUGCUAAUACCGGAUAAUGUCUUCGGACCAAAGAUUUAUCGCCUUUGGAUGGGCCCGCGUUGGAUUAGCUAGUUGGUAGGGUAAAAGCCUACCAAGGCGACGAUCCAUAGCUGGUCUGAGAGGAUGAUCAGCCACACUGGGACUGAGACACGGCCCAGACUCCUACGGGAGGGAGCAGUGGGGAAUAUUGGACAAUGGGCGAAAGCCUGAUCCAGCAAUGCCGCGUGAGUGAUGAAGGCGUUAGGGUUGUAAAGCUCUUUUACCCGGGAUGAUAAUGACGGUACCGGGAGAAUAAGCUCCGGCUAACUCCGUG
Molecule: ribosomal RNA, 433 nt
Filed under: uncultured bacterium
Lineage: Bacteria
Description: partial 16S ribosomal RNA
Rfam family: Bacterial small subunit ribosomal RNA
Source: RNAcentral